RNAcentral lists this transfer RNA (68 nucleotides) under Neomonachus tropicalis (Caribbean monk seal). Its description in RNAcentral is "tRNA-Tyr". It matches the Rfam family "tRNA". Rfam says of the family: Transfer RNA (tRNA) molecules are approximately 80 nucleotides in length. Lineage: Eukaryota; Metazoa; Chordata; Mammalia; Carnivora; Phocidae. The record is from RNAcentral.
GGUAAAAUGGCUGAUAAGAGCAUUAGACUGUAAAUCUAAGUAUGAAGGUCUAGACCCUUCUUUUACCA